RNAcentral lists this ribosomal RNA (436 nucleotides) under uncultured bacterium. RNAcentral's name for it is "partial 16S ribosomal RNA". It matches the Rfam family "Bacterial small subunit ribosomal RNA", at positions 28 to 506 of the family's 1533-position model. The record is from RNAcentral.
AGCGAACGCUGGCGGCAGGCUUAACACAUGCAAGUCGAGCGGGCAUCCUUGUGGUGUCAGCGGCAGACGGGUGAGUAACGCGUGGGAACGUGCCCUUCGGUUCGGAAUAACUCAGGGAAACUUGAGCUAAUACCGGAUACGUGCGAGAGCAGAAAGGUUUAUCUGCCGAAGGAUCGGCCCGCGUCUGAUUAGCUAGUUGGUGAGGUUAUGGCUCACCAAGGCGACGAUCAGUAGCUGGUCUGAGAGGAUGAUCAGCCACACUGGGACUGAGACACGGCCCAGACUCCCCGGGGGGGCGGCAUUGGGGAAUAUUGGGCCAGGGGGGCAACCCGGAUCCCCCCUUGCCGGGUGGGUGGUGGCGGCCUUGGGGUUGUAAAGCCUUUUUCCCCGGGACGAUAAUGCCGGUACCGGGGAAAAAAGCCCCGGCAACCUUCGU